RNAcentral lists this ribosomal RNA (253 nucleotides) under uncultured bacterium. RNAcentral's name for it is "partial 16S ribosomal RNA". It matches the Rfam family "Bacterial small subunit ribosomal RNA", at positions 524 to 776 of the family's 1533-position model. The record is from RNAcentral.
UACGGGGGGUGCGAGCGUUGUUCGGAAUUACUGGGCGUAAAGCGCGUGUAGGCGGCCUAUUAUGUCAGGUGUGAAAGCCCUCGGCCUAACCGAGGAAGGGCGCCUGAAACUGCUAGGCUUGAGUACGAGAGAGGAGGGCGGAAUUCCCAGUGUAGAGGUGAAAUGCGUAGAUAUUGGGAGGAACACCGGCGGCGAAAGCGGUUCUCUGGACGGAUACUGACGCUAAGACGCGAAAGCGUGGGGAGCAAACAGG